GUCCGGACGAACCCAGUGGAGCCGACCGAGCCCCUGGAAUCACUCGGGUCACGGUUCCUGAGGUGAAACGCGAGAUCGAUUACUGGAAUCUCCGGGCCCGGGCCGGGCCUGACGGAGGGCGCCCGCGGGGCCCUAAGUGGACAAC
Molecule: long non-coding RNA, 145 nt
Filed under: Canis lupus dingo (dingo)
Lineage: Eukaryota; Metazoa; Chordata; Mammalia; Carnivora; Canidae
Description: lncRNA (ENSCAFG00020027010.1)
Source: RNAcentral